UACGUAGGGUGCAAGCGUUGUCCGGAAUUAUUGGGCGUAAAGAGCUCGUAGGCGGUUUGUCGCGUCUGGUGUGAAAAUCCAGGGCUUAACCCUGGACCUGCAUCGGGUACGGGCAGACUAGAGUGCGGUAGGGGAGAUCGGAAUUCCUGGUGUAGCGGUGAAAUGCGCAGAUAUCAGGAGGAACACCGGUGGCGAAGGCGGGUCUCUGGGCAACAACUGACGCUGAGGAGCGAAAGCGUGGGGAGCGAACAGG
This 253-nucleotide ribosomal RNA is filed under the name uncultured bacterium. Its description in RNAcentral is "partial 16S ribosomal RNA". It matches the Rfam family "Bacterial small subunit ribosomal RNA", at positions 524 to 776 of the family's 1533-position model. The record is from RNAcentral.